GCUGGAAUCGCUAGUAAUCGCAAAUCAGAAUGUUGCGGUGAAUACGUUCCCGGGUCUUGUACACACCGCCCGUCACACCAUGGGAGUCGGAUAUGCCCGAAGCCAGUGACCUAACCGUAAGGAAGGAGCUGUCGAAGGUGGAGCCGAUAACUGGGGUGAAGUCGUAACAAGGUAUC
RNAcentral lists this ribosomal RNA (176 nucleotides) under uncultured bacterium. Its description in RNAcentral is "partial 16S ribosomal RNA". It matches the Rfam family "Bacterial small subunit ribosomal RNA", at positions 1325 to 1500 of the family's 1533-position model. The record is from RNAcentral.